ACAAGCGGAGGAGGCAUGUGGUUUAAUUCGAUGAUACGCGAGGAACUUACCUGGGCUCGAACGUAAGAUGACUGUAGGUGAAAGCUUACAUCUCUUCGGAGCAUUUUACGAGGUGCUGCAUGGUUGUCGUCAGCUCGUGCCGUGAGGUGUCGGGUUAAGUCCCAUAACGAGCGCAACCCCUACCUUUAGUUGCCAUCAGGUAAUGCUGGGGGACUCUAAAGGAACUGCCUACGCAAGUAGUGAGGAAGGCGGGGAUGACGUCAAAUCAGCACGGCCCUUACGUCCAGGGCUACACACGUGCUACAAUGGCCGAUACAGAGGGCAGCUACCUGGUGACAGGAUGCAAAUCUCCAAAGUCGGUCUCAGUUCGGAUCGGAGUCUGCAACCCGACUCCGUGAAGUUGGAUUCGCUAGUAAUCGCGCAUCAGCCAUGGCGCGGUGAAUACGUUCCCGGGCCUU
This 458-nucleotide ribosomal RNA is filed under the name uncultured Sphingobacteriales bacterium. RNAcentral describes it as "bacterial SSU rRNA". It matches the Rfam family "Bacterial small subunit ribosomal RNA", at positions 925 to 1382 of the family's 1533-position model. Lineage: Bacteria; Pseudomonadati; Bacteroidota; Sphingobacteriia; Sphingobacteriales. The record is from RNAcentral.